This 497-nucleotide ribosomal RNA is filed under the name uncultured bacterium. RNAcentral's name for it is "partial 16S ribosomal RNA". It matches the Rfam family "Bacterial small subunit ribosomal RNA", at positions 28 to 507 of the family's 1533-position model. The record is from RNAcentral.
GAUGAACGCUGGCGGCGUGCCUAAUACAUGCAAGUCGAGCGAACAGACGAGGAGCUUGCUCCUCUGACGUUAGCGGCGGACGGGUGAGUAACACGUGGAUAACCUACCUAUAAGACUGGGAUAACUUCGGGAAACCGGAGCUAAUACCGGAUAACAUGUUGAACCGCAUGGUUCAAAAGUGAAAGACGGUCUUGCUGUCACUUAUAGAUGGAUCCGCGCCGCAUUAGCUAGUUGGUAAGGUAACGGCUUACCAAGGCAACGAUGCGUAGCCGACCUGAGAGGGUGAUCGGCCACACUGGAACUGAGACACGGUCCAGACUCCUACGGGAGGCAGCAGUAGGGAAUCUUCCGCAAUGGGCGAAAUCCUGACGGAGCAACGCCGCGUGAGUGAAGAAGGUCUUCGGAUCGUAAAACUCUGUUAUUAGGGAAGAACAAAUGUGUAAGUAACUAUGCACGUCUUGACGGUACCUAAUCAGAAAGCCACGGCUAACUACGUG